This 419-nucleotide long non-coding RNA is filed under the name Elaeis guineensis (African oil palm). Its description in RNAcentral is "long non-coding RNA (EGUI_LNC075909)". The record is from RNAcentral. Lineage: Eukaryota; Viridiplantae; Streptophyta; Magnoliopsida; Arecales; Arecaceae.
ACAUCCUUAAGAAGAACUUCUCUUCUUUAUUUUUUCAUGAUGAAAAUCAGAUCUAUUCUAUUUUUUUAUGCUGAAAAUCAUAUGGAUUCUUGAGCCCUAGAAAAAUUCAAAAGAGAGACUCAAGAGAAGAACCAUUCUUCUCUCCUCUUCUCCCUUUUUCUCCUUAAUCUAGAACUUUAGGAAGCCCCAAACACCCAAUCAGAUUUUUUUAAUAUUUUUUUUUCUAAAUUCUUAUAUUAAAAAUUAGAUCGAAUCUGAUUUUUAUCCUAGAAAAAAAUAGAGAAAAAAUUAUGAGAAGAACUUCUUCUCCAACGCUACGCACAAGAAAGAAGACCCUUCUUCUUUCUUCUCUUUCUCUCUUUGGGAAAAACUUUUCUCUCCAAUUUUUUGCUAUAUAACCAGCAGAGGAGCCUCUCUUU